RNAcentral lists this non-coding RNA (30 nucleotides) under Rattus norvegicus (Norway rat). The record is from RNAcentral. Lineage: Eukaryota; Metazoa; Chordata; Mammalia; Rodentia; Muridae.
GCCUAGUACAAGCUUCCUAUUCUGGUGAUA